This 381-nucleotide ribosomal RNA is filed under the name Rumina decollata. RNAcentral's name for it is "partial 12S ribosomal RNA". The record is from RNAcentral. Lineage: Eukaryota; Metazoa; Mollusca; Gastropoda; Stylommatophora; Subulinidae.
UCUAAUAGAAACUUAUUCUUAGCCUAAGCAGUACAAUGAUUUAUGUUAUUAAAACUUAAAAAUUGUGGCGGCAGCUUAAACACUCAGGGGAACUUACCAUGUAAUUGAUAACCAACAAGAGGUCCUCACCUGGUCUUAUAAUUAGUAUACCGCCGUCUUUAAGCUCUCUUAAGGGGAGCUUAAAAGAAUAUAUCAUUUAUAAGACAGGUCAUGGUGCUGUAAAUGACCAGGAAUAUAAGGCGAGUUACAAUAUCCAAAACUAGUACGGACUAUAAUUUUAAAAUUUAUACGAAGAAGGACUUGAUUGUAAAGUAUACUCUUCAUUUCAUAUAACUUACUAAUAUGACACGAUUUAAAGCUUGAAAAAGAAUUAGGCUGUGC